GACGAACGCUGGCGGCGUGCCUAAUACAUGCAAGUCGAACGAACUCUGGUAUUGAUUGGUGCUUGCAUCAUGAUUUACAUCUGAGUGAGUGGCGAACUGGUGAGUAACACGUGGGAAACAUGCCCAGAAGCGGGGGAUAACACCUGGAAACAGAUGCUAAUACCGCAUAACAACUUGGACCGCAUGGUCCGAGCUUGAAAGAUGGCUUCGGCUAUCACUUUUGGAUGGUCCCGCGGCGUAUUAGCUAGAUGGUGGGGUAACGGCUCACCAUGGCAAUGAUACGUAGCCGACCUGAGAGGGUAAUCGGCCACAUUGGGACUGAGACACGGCCCAAACUCCUACGGGAGGCAGCAGUAGGGAAUCUUCCACAAUGGACGAAAGUCUGAUGGAGCAACGCCGCGUGAGUGAAGAAGGGUUUCGGCUCGUAAAACUCUGUUGUUAAAGAAGAACAUAUCUGAGAGUAACUGUUCAGGUAUUGACGGUAUUUAACCAGAAAGCCACGGCUAACUACGUGCCAGCAGCCGCGGUAAUACGUAGGUGGCAAGCGUUGUCCGGAUUUAUUGGGCGUAAAGCGAGCGCAGGCGGUUUUUUAAGUCUGAUGUGAAAGCCUUCGGCUCAACCGAAGAAGUGCAUCGGAAACUGGGAAACUUGAGUGCAGAAGAGGACAGUGGAACUCCAUGUGUAGCGGUGAAAUGCGUAGAUAUAUGGAAGAACACCAGUGGCGAAAGGCGGCUGUCUGGUCUGUAACUGACGCUGAGGCUCGAAAGUAUGGGUAGCAACAGGAUUAGAUACCCUGGUAGUCCAUACCGUAAACGAUGAAUGCUAAGUGUUGGAGGGUUUCCGCCCUUCAGUGCUGCAGCUAACGCAUUAAGCAUUCCGCCUGGGGAGUACGGCCGCAAGGCUGAAACUCAAAGGAAUUGACGGGGGCCCGCACAAGCGGUGGAGCAUGUGGUUUAAUUCGAAGCUACGCGAAGAACCUUACCAGGUCUUGACAUACUAUGCAAAUCUAAGAGAUUAGACGUUCCCUUCGGGGACAUGGAUACAGGUGGUGCAUGGUUGUCGUCAGCUCGUGUCGUGAGAUGUUGGGUUAAGUCCCGCAACGAGCGCAACCCUUAUUAUCAGUUGCCAGCAUUAAGUUGGGCACUCUGGUGAGACUGCCGGUGACAAACCGGAGGAAGGUGGGGAUGACGUCAAAUCAUCAUGCCCCUUAUGACCUGGGCUACACACGUGCUACAAUGGAUGGUACAACGAGUUGCGAACUCGCGAGUGUAAGCUAAUCUCUUAAAGCCAUUCUCAGUUCGGAUUGUAGGCUGCAACUCGCCUACAUGAAGUCGGAAUCGCUAGUAAUCGCGGAUCAGCAUGCCGCGGUGAAUACGUUCCCGGGCCUUGUACACACCGCCCGUCACACCAUGAGAGUUUGUAACACCCAAAGUCGGUGGGGUAACCUUUUAGGAACCAGCCGCCUAAGGUGGGACAGAUGAUUAGGGUG
Molecule: ribosomal RNA, 1489 nt
Filed under: Lactiplantibacillus plantarum
Lineage: Bacteria; Bacillati; Bacillota; Bacilli; Lactobacillales; Lactobacillaceae
Description: bacterial SSU rRNA
Rfam family: Bacterial small subunit ribosomal RNA
Source: RNAcentral